RNAcentral lists this ribosomal RNA (2893 nucleotides) under Escherichia coli. Its description in RNAcentral is "bacterial LSU rRNA". It matches the Rfam family "Bacterial large subunit ribosomal RNA". The record is from RNAcentral. Lineage: Bacteria; Pseudomonadati; Pseudomonadota; Gammaproteobacteria; Enterobacterales; Enterobacteriaceae.
ACUAAGCGUACACGGUGGAUGCCCUGGCAGUCAGAGGCGAUGAAGGACGUGCUAAUCUGCGAUAAGCGUCGGUAAGGUGAUAUGAACCGUUAUAACCGGCGAUUUCCGAAUGGGGAAACCCAGUGUGAUUCGUCACACUAUCAUUAACUGAAUCCAUAGGUUAAUGAGGCGAACCGGGGGAACUGAAACAUCUAAGUACCCCGAGGAAUAGAAAUCAACCGAGAUUCCCCCAGUAGCGGCGAGCGAACGGGGAGCAGCCCAGAGCCUGAAUCAGUGUGUGUGUUAGUGGAAGCGUCUGGAAAGGCGCGCGAUACAGGGUGACAGCCCCGUACACAAAAAUGCACAUGCUGUGAGCUCGAUGAGUAGGGCGGGACACGUGGUAUCCUGUCUGAAUAUGGGGGGACCAUCCUCCAAGGCUAAAUACUCCUGACUGACCGAUAGUGAACCAGUACCGUGAGGGAAAGGCGAAAAGAACCCCGGCGAGGGGAGUGAAAAAGAACCUGAAACCGUGUACGUACAAGCAGUGGGAGCACGCUUAGGCGUGUGACUGCGUACCUUUUGUAUAAUGGGUCAGCGACUUAUAUUCUGUAGCAAGGUUAACCGAAUAGGGGAGCCGAAGGGAAACCGAGUCUUAACUGGGCGUUAAGUUGCAGGGUAUAGACCCGAAACCCGGUGAUCUAGCCAUGGGCAGGUUGAAGGUUGGGUAACACUAACUGGAGGACCGAACCGACUAAUGUUGAAAAAUUAGCGGAUGACUUGUGGCUGGGGGUGAAAGGCCAAUCAAACCGGGAGAUAGCUGGUUCUCCCCGAAAGCUAUUUAGGUAGCGCCUCGUGAAUUCAUCUCCGGGGGUAGAGCACUGUUUCGGCAAGGGGGUCAUCCCGACUUACCAACCCGAUGCAAACUGCGAAUACCGGAGAAUGUUAUCACGGGAGACACACGGCGGGUGCUAACGUCCGUCGUGAAGAGGGAAACAACCCAGACCGCCAGCUAAGGUCCCAAAGUCAUGGUUAAGUGGGAAACGAUGUGGGAAGGCCCAGACAGCCAGGAUGUUGGCUUAGAAGCAGCCAUCAUUUAAAGAAAGCGUAAUAGCUCACUGGUCGAGUCGGCCUGCGCGGAAGAUGUAACGGGGCUAAACCAUGCACCGAAGCUGCGGCAGCGACGCUGAUGCGUUGUUGGGUAGGGGAGCGUUCUGUAAGCCUGCGAAGGUGUGCUGUGAGGCAUGCUGGAGGUAUCAGAAGUGCGAAUGCUGACAUAAGUAACGAUAAAGCGGGUGAAAAGCCCGCUCGCCGGAAGACCAAGGGUUCCUGUCCAACGUUAAUCGGGGCAGGGUGAGUCGACCCCUAAGGCGAGGCCGAAAGGCGUAGUCGAUGGGAAACAGGUUAAUAUUCCUGUACUUGGUGUUACUGCGAAGGGGGGACGGAGAAGGCUAUGUUGGCCGGGCGACGGUUGUCCCGGUUUAAGCGUGUAGGCUGGUUUUCCAGGCAAAUCCGGAAAAUCAAGGCUGAGGCGUGAUGACGAGGCACUACGGUGCUGAAGCAACAAAUGCCCUGCUUCCAGGAAAAGCCUCUAAGCAUCAGGUAACAUCAAAUCGUACCCCAAACCGACACAGGUGGUCAGGUAGAGAAUACCAAGGCGCUUGAGAGAACUCGGGUGAAGGAACUAGGCAAAAUGGUGCCGUAACUUCGGGAGAAGGCACGCUGAUAUGUAGGUGAAGUCCCUCGCGGAUGGAGCUGAAAUCAGUCGAAGAUACCAGCUGGCUGCAACUGUUUAUUAAAAACACAGCACUGUGCAAACACGAAAGUGGACGUAUACGGUGUGACGCCUGCCCGGUGCCGGAAGGUUAAUUGAUGGGGUUAGCGCAAGCGAAGCUCUUGAUCGAAGCCCCGGUAAACGGCGGCCGUAACUAUAACGGUCCUAAGGUAGCGAAAUUCCUUGUCGGGUAAGUUCCGACCUGCACGAAUGGCGUAAUGAUGGCCAGGCUGUCUCCACCCGAGACUCAGUGAAAUUGAACUCGCUGUGAAGAUGCAGUGUACCCGCGGCAAGACGGAAAGACCCCGUGAACCUUUACUAUAGCUUGACACUGAACAUUGAGCCUUGAUGUGUAGGAUAGGUGGGAGGCUUUGAAGUGUGGACGCCAGUCUGCAUGGAGCCGACCUUGAAAUACCACCCUUUAAUGUUUGAUGUUCUAACGUGGACCCGUAAUCCGGGUUGCGGACAGUGUCUGGUGGGUAGUUUGACUGGGGCGGUCUCCUCCUAAAGAGUAACGGAGGAGCACGAAGGUUGGCUAAUCCUGGUCGGACAUCAGGAGGUUAGUGCAAUGGCAUAAGCCAGCUUGACUGCGAGCGUGACGGCGCGAGCAGGUGCGAAAGCAGGUCAUAGUGAUCCGGUGGUUCUGAAUGGAAGGGCCAUCGCUCAACGGAUAAAAGGUACUCCGGGGAUAACAGGCUGAUACCGCCCAAGAGUUCAUAUCGACGGCGGUGUUUGGCACCUCGAUGUCGGCUCAUCACAUCCUGGGGCUGAAGUAGGUCCCAAGGGUAUGGCUGUUCGCCAUUUAAAGUGGUACGCGAGCUGGGUUUAGAACGUCGUGAGACAGUUCGGUCCCUAUCUGCCGUGGGCGCUGGAGAAUUGAGGGGGGCUGCUCCUAGUACGAGAGGACCGGAGUGGACGCAUCACUGGUGUUCGGGUUGUCAUGCCAAUGGCACUGCCCGGUAGCUAAAUGCGGAAGAGAUAAGUGCUGAAAGCAUCUAAGCACGAAACUUGCCCCGAGAUGAGUUCUCCCUGACUCCUUGAGAGUCCUGAAGGAACGUUGAAGACGACGACGUUGAUAGGCCGGGUGUGUAAGCGCAGCGAUGCGUUGAGCUAACCGGUACUAAUGAACCGUGAGGCUUAACC